This 3028-nucleotide ribosomal RNA is filed under the name Salmonella enterica subsp. enterica serovar Kentucky str. SA20030505. RNAcentral describes it as "bacterial LSU rRNA". It matches the Rfam family "Bacterial large subunit ribosomal RNA". Lineage: Bacteria; Pseudomonadati; Pseudomonadota; Gammaproteobacteria; Enterobacterales; Enterobacteriaceae. The record is from RNAcentral.
GGGUUGUGAGGUUAAGCGACUAAGCGUACACGGUGGAUGCCCUGGCAGUCAGAGGCGAUGAAGGGCGUGCUAAUCUGCGAUAAGCGCCGGUAAGGUGAUAUGAACCGUUAUAACCGGCGAUACCCGAAUGGGGAAACCCAGUGUGACUCGUCACACUAUCAUUAACUGAAUCCAUAGGUUAAUGAGGCGAACCGGGGGAACUGAAACAUCUAAGUACCCCGAGGAAAAGAAAUCAACCGAGAUUCCCCCAGUAGCGGCGAGCGAACGGGGAGGAGCCCAGAGCCUGAAUCAGCAUGUGUGUUAGUGGAAGCGUCUGGAAAGGCGCGCGAUACAGGGUGACAGCCCCGUACACAAAAGCGCAUGUGCUGUGAGCUCGAUGAGUAGGGCGGGACACGUGGUAUCCUGUCUGAAUAUGGGGGGACCAUCCUCCAAGGCUAAAUACUCCUGACUGACCGAUAGUGAACCAGUACCGUGAGGGAAAGGCGAAAAGAACCCCGGCGAGGGGAGUGAAAAAGAACCUGAAACCGUGUACGUACAAGCAGUGGGAGCCCCACCACCAAAGCAUUCUCUGGUGUUGAAGGCCCUGCAAAGCAGCAUCGCGGUGGUGGAGCGUCGUUUGCGACGCCCAACACACAAAACAAGCGGUGAGUGCUUUGGGGUGGGGUGACUGCGUACCUUUUGUAUAAUGGGUCAGCGACUUAUAUUCUGUAGCAAGGUUAACCGUAUAGGGGAGCCGUAGGGAAACCGAGUCUUAACCGGGCGUUAAGUUGCAGGGUAUAGACCCGAAACCCGGUGAUCUAGCCAUGGGCAGGUUGAAGGUUGGGUAACACUAACUGGAGGACCGAACCGACUAAUGUUGAAAAAUUAGCGGAUGACCUGUGGCUGGGGGUGAAAGGCCAAUCAAACCGGGAGAUAGCUGGUUCUCCCCGAAAGCUAUUUAGGUAGCGCCUCGUGAACUCAUCUCCGGGGGUAGAGCACUGUUUCGGCUAGGGGGCCAUCCCGGCUUACCAACCCGAUGCAAACUGCGAAUACCGGAGAAUGUUAUCACGGGAGACACACGGCGGGUGCUAACGUCCGUCGUGAAGAGGGAAACAACCCAGACCGCCAGCUAAGGUCCCAAAGUCAUGGUUAAGUGGGAAACGAUGUGGGAAGGCCCAGACAGCCAGGAUGUUGGCUUAGAAGCAGCCAUCAUUUAAAGAAAGCGUAAUAGCUCACUGGUCGAGUCGGCCUGCGCGGAAGAUGUAACGGGGCUAAACCAUGCACCGAAGCUGCGGCAGCGACACUGUGUGUUGUUGGGUAGGGGAGCGUUCUGUAAGCCUGCGAAGGUGGCCUGUGAGGGUUGCUGGAGGUAUCAGAAGUGCGAAUGCUGACAUAAGUAACGAUAAAGCGGGUGAAAAGCCCGCUCGCCGGAAGACCAAGGGUUCCUGUCCAACGUUAAUCGGGGCAGGGUGAGUCGACCCCUAAGGCGAGGCCGAAAGGCGUAGUCGAUGGGAAACGGGUUAAUAUUCCCGUACUUGGUGUUACUGCGAAGGGGGGACGGAGAAGGCUAUGUUGGCCGGGCGACGGUUGUCCCGGUUUAAGCGUGUAGGUGUGUGUUCCAGGUAAAUCCGGUUCACUUUAACACUGAGGCGUGAUGACGAGGCACUACGGUGCUGAAGCAACAAAUGCCCUGCUUCCAGGAAAAGCCUCUAAGCAUCAGGUAACAUCAAAUCGUACCCCAAACCGACACAGGUGGUCAGGUAGAGAAUACCAAGGCGCUUGAGAGAACUCGGGUGAAGGAACUAGGCAAAAUGGUGCCGUAACUUCGGGAGAAGGCACGCUGACACGUAGGUGAAGUGAUUUACUCACGGAGCUGAAGUCAGUCGAAGAUACCAGCUGGCUGCAACUGUUUAUUAAAAACACAGCACUGUGCAAACACGAAAGUGGACGUAUACGGUGUGACGCCUGCCCGGUGCCGGAAGGUUAAUUGAUGGGGUCAGCGCAAGCGAAGCUCCUGAUCGAAGCCCCGGUAAACGGCGGCCGUAACUAUAACGGUCCUAAGGUAGCGAAAUUCCUUGUCGGGUAAGUUCCGACCUGCACGAAUGGCGUAAUGAUGGCCAGGCUGUCUCCACCCGAGACUCAGUGAAAUUGAACUCGCUGUGAAGAUGCAGUGUACCCGCGGCAAGACGGAAAGACCCCGUGAACCUUUACUAUAGCUUGACACUGAACAUUGAGCCUUGAUGUGUAGGAUAGGUGGGAGGCUUUGAAGUGUGGACGCCAGUCUGCAUGGAGCCGACCUUGAAAUACCACCCUUUAAUGUUUGAUGUUCUAACGUGGACCCGUGAUCCGGGUUGCGGACAGUGUCUGGUGGGUAGUUUGACUGGGGCGGUCUCCUCCUAAAGAGUAACGGAGGAGCACGAAGGUUGGCUAAUCCUGGUCGGACAUCAGGAGGUUAGUGCAAUGGCAUAAGCCAGCUUGACUGCGAGCGUGACGGCGCGAGCAGGUGCGAAAGCAGGUCAUAGUGAUCCGGUGGUUCUGAAUGGAAGGGCCAUCGCUCAACGGAUAAAAGGUACUCCGGGGAUAACAGGCUGAUACCGCCCAAGAGUUCAUAUCGACGGCGGUGUUUGGCACCUCGAUGUCGGCUCAUCACAUCCUGGGGCUGAAGUAGGUCCCAAGGGUAUGGCUGUUCGCCAUUUAAAGUGGUACGCGAGCUGGGUUUAGAACGUCGUGAGACAGUUCGGUCCCUAUCUGCCGUGGGCGCUGGAGAACUGAGGGGGGCUGCUCCUAGUACGAGAGGACCGGAGUGGACGCAUCACUGGUGUUCGGGUUGUCAUGCCAAUGGCACUGCCCGGUAGCUAAAUGCGGAAGAGAUAAGUGCUGAAAGCAUCUAAGCACGAAACUUGCCCCGAGAUGAGUUCUCCCUGAGACUUAGAGUCUCCUGAAGGAACGUUGAAGACGACGACGUUGAUAGGCCGGGUGUGUAAGCGCAGCGAUGCGUUGAGCUAACCGGUACUAAUGAACCGUGAGGCUUAACCUUACAACGCCGAAG